This 254-nucleotide ribosomal RNA is filed under the name uncultured bacterium. Its description in RNAcentral is "partial 16S ribosomal RNA". It matches the Rfam family "Bacterial small subunit ribosomal RNA", at positions 102 to 353 of the family's 1533-position model. The record is from RNAcentral.
ACGGGUGAGUAACGCGUGGGUAACCUGCCUUAUACAGGGGGAUAACAGUCAGAAAUGGCUGCUAAUACCGCAUAAGCGCACAGAGCUGCAUGGCUCAGUGUGAAAAACUACCGGUGGUAUAAGAUGGACCCGCGUUGGAUUAGCUAGUUGGUGGGGUAACGGCCCACCAAGGCGACGAUCCAUAGCCGGCCUGAGAGGGUGAACGGCCACAUUGGGACUGAGACACGGCCCAGACUCCUACGGGAGGCAGCAUG